RNAcentral lists this transfer RNA (76 nucleotides) under bacterium. RNAcentral describes it as "tRNA-Ala". It matches the Rfam family "tRNA". From Rfam's summary of the family: Transfer RNA (tRNA) molecules are approximately 80 nucleotides in length. Their secondary structure includes four short double-helical elements and three loops (D, anti-codon, and T loops). The record is from RNAcentral.
GGGCCUGUAGCUCAGCUGGUAGAGCACUUCCAUGGCAUGGAUGGGGUCAAGGGUUCAAGUCCCUUCAGGUCCACCA